Molecule: ribosomal RNA, 424 nt
Filed under: uncultured bacterium
Lineage: Bacteria
Description: bacterial SSU rRNA
Rfam family: Bacterial small subunit ribosomal RNA
Source: RNAcentral
GCCAGCAGCCGCGGUAAUACGUAGGUGGCAAGCGUUGUCCGGAUUUAUUGGGCGUAAAGCGCCCGCAGGCGGCUCAGCAAGUUUCAGGUGAAAUCUCCUGGCUCAACUGGGAGGGGUCUUGGAAAACUGCUGGGCUUGAGGCAGGGAGAGGGAUGCGGAAUACCAGGUGUAGUGGUGAAAUGCGUAGAUAUCUGGUGGAACACCAGUGGCGAAGGCGGCAUCCUGGCCCUGUCCUGACGCUCAGGGGCGAAAGCGUGGGGAGCAAACCGGAUUAGAUACCCGGGUAGUCCACGCCGUAAACGAUGAGUACUAGGUGUAGGGGGUAUCGACCCCCUCUGUGCCGAAGCUAACGCGAUAAGUACUCCGCCUGGGGACUACGGCCGCAAGGCUAAAACUCAAAGGAAUUGACGGGGGCCCGCACAAG